Molecule: long non-coding RNA, 192 nt
Organism: Limulus polyphemus (Atlantic horseshoe crab)
Lineage: Eukaryota; Metazoa; Arthropoda; Merostomata; Xiphosura; Limulidae
Exons: 2
Source: RefSeq, a predicted model, not a curated record
AUCAUCUGAAACCUGAAGCUCGAAGUUUCUAAAUCACCAAAGAUGAAGACUCUCGUGGUUUUGGUUUUGAUUGCACUUGUGAUUUCUGUAUCGUGUAGAAAAGGUCCAAAAAUUGAACGUAUACAUGAAAUGAUGUGUAGUAGUAAUCCAGAAGACGUAGCUAAAGCUGAAAGAUUAAUUUCAAAGAUGCCU